This 201-nucleotide ribosomal RNA is filed under the name uncultured bacterium. Its description in RNAcentral is "partial 16S ribosomal RNA". It matches the Rfam family "Bacterial small subunit ribosomal RNA", at positions 524 to 718 of the family's 1533-position model. The record is from RNAcentral.
UACAGAGGGGGCUAGCGUUAUUCGGAAUUAUUGGGCGUAAAGGGCGCGUAGGCGGCCAUGCGUGUCUUCCGUGAAAUCCCUCGGCUUAACUGAGGACGUGCGGAAGAAACUGCAAGGCUCGAGUCCGGGGAGAGGGGGGGGGGUGGAAUUCCCAGUGUAGCGGUGAAAUGCGUAGAUAUUGGGAGGAACACCAGGUGGCGA